GACGAACGCUGGCGGCGUGCUUAACACAUGCAAGUCGAGCGGUAAGGCCCUUUCGGGGUACGACGAGCGGCGAACGGGUGAGUAACACGUGGGUGACCUGCCCUUACGCUCUGGGAGUAAGCCUGGGAAACUGGGUCGUAAUACCGGAUAUGACUCCAUGACGCAUGUUGUGGGGUGGAAAGCCUUGUGCGGCUAGGGAUGGCCCGCGCCUAUCAGCUUGUUGGUGGGGUGAUGGCCACCAAGGCGACGACGGGUAGCCGGCCUGAGAGGGCGACCGGCCAC
This 282-nucleotide ribosomal RNA is filed under the name uncultured bacterium. RNAcentral's name for it is "partial 16S ribosomal RNA". It matches the Rfam family "Bacterial small subunit ribosomal RNA", at positions 28 to 311 of the family's 1533-position model. The record is from RNAcentral.